This 402-nucleotide ribosomal RNA is filed under the name uncultured bacterium. RNAcentral describes it as "partial 16S ribosomal RNA". It matches the Rfam family "Bacterial small subunit ribosomal RNA", at positions 355 to 774 of the family's 1533-position model. The record is from RNAcentral. RNAcentral also lists the same sequence under 1 other name.
UGGGGAAUAUUGGACAAUGGGCGCAAGCCUGAUCCAGCCAUGCCGCGUGAGUGAUGAAGGCCUUAGGGUUGUAAAGCUCUUUUGUCCGGGAGGAUAAUGACCGUACCGGAAGAAUAAGCUCCGGCUAACUUCGUGCCAGCAGCCGCGGUAAUACGAAGGGAGCUAGCGUUGUUCGGAAUUACUGGGCGUAAAGCGCAUGCAGGCGGAUCGUUAAGUCGAGGGUGAAAUCCCAGGGCUCAACCCUGGAACUGCCUUCGAUACUGGCGACCUUGAGUCCGGGAGAGGUGAGUGGAACUCCGAGUGUAGAGGUGAAAUUCGUAGAUAUUCGGAAGAACACCAGUGGCGAAGGCGGCUCACUGGCCCGGUACUGACGCUGAGAUGCGAAAGCGUGGGGAGCAAACA